GACGAGGGGUCCAAGCGUUGUUCGGAAUCAUUGGGCGUAAAGCGGGUGUAGGUGGAUUUGUAAGUCAGGAGUGAAAGCCCCAGGCUUAACCUGGGAAGUGCUUUUGAUACUGCAAAUCUUGAAUGUGGGAGAGGAUGGUGGAAUUCCAGGUGUAGUGGUGAAAUACGUAGAUAUCUGGAGGAACUCCGGUGGCGAAGGCGGCCAUCUGGCCCAACAUUGACACUGAUACCCGAAAGCGUGGGGAUCAAACAGG
Molecule: ribosomal RNA, 253 nt
Filed under: uncultured bacterium
Lineage: Bacteria
Description: partial 16S ribosomal RNA
Rfam family: Bacterial small subunit ribosomal RNA
Source: RNAcentral